UACGUAGGGACCAAGCGUUGUCCGGAAUCAUUGGGCGUAAAGAGCUCGUAGGCGGCUUGUCGCGUCGAAUGUGAAAACCCACGGCUCAACUGUGGGCUUGCAUUCGAUACGGGCAGGCUAGAGUGCGGUAGGGGAGAUUGGAAUUCCUGGUGUAGCGGUGGAAUGCGCAGAUAUCAGGAGGAACACCGAUGGCGAAGGCAGAUCUCUGGGCCGUAACUGACGCUGAGGAGCGAAAGCAUGGGGAGCGAACAGG
This 253-nucleotide ribosomal RNA is filed under the name uncultured bacterium. RNAcentral's name for it is "partial 16S ribosomal RNA". It matches the Rfam family "Bacterial small subunit ribosomal RNA", at positions 524 to 776 of the family's 1533-position model. The record is from RNAcentral.